AUACCGGCAGCUCGAGUGAUGACCGCUGUUAUUGGGCCUAAAGCGUCCGUAGCUGGCCAUGCAAGUCCGUUGGGAAAUCCACUAGCUCAACUAGUGGGCGUCCGGCGGAAACUGCAUGGCUUGGGACCGGAAGGCUCGAGGGGUACGUCCGGGGUAGGAGUGAAAUCCCGUAAUCCUGGACGGACCACCGAUGGCGAAAGCACCCCGAGAAGACGGAUCCGACAGUGAGCGACGAAAGCUGGGGUCUCGAACCGGAUUAGAUACCCGGGUAGUCCCAGCCGUAAACGAUGCCAGUUAGGUGUGGCGCAGGCUACGAGCCUGCGCUGUGCCGUAGGGAAGCCGAGAAACUGGCCGCCUGGGAAGUACGUCCGCAAGGAUGAA
RNAcentral lists this ribosomal RNA (381 nucleotides) under uncultured bacterium. Its description in RNAcentral is "bacterial SSU rRNA". It matches the Rfam family "Archaeal small subunit ribosomal RNA", at positions 473 to 853 of the family's 1478-position model. RNAcentral also lists the same sequence under 1 other name. The record is from RNAcentral.